UUCCCGGGCCUGGCAUACCCUGGAGGAGGGAGGCUCAGGGCGCAGACUGGGAGUCUUCAGAGGCUGGGAGAGAUCUUUGCUUCUGAUUCCUUUUGUUGACAUUUCCUGAACUUUAAAUUCAAUCUGACCAGGCAUGAGUGGUUCUGGGAGGCAGAUAGCACGUGGGUAAUUAGAUUCUGAGAGCUUAAUGCAGAGGUUCCUCUGAAAAGGCAAGGCUUCUGCACACAUACCUUUAAACUCUCCUCUGAGAGCAGGCUACUUGGUGUGGGGCCUUGCAGUGGCCCACCGCAGGCAAGCCUGCUUGUGGUUUACACAAUGGAUUCCUCUAUCUUUCAGGCUCUGGGUUUUAGAGGAAACAAAUUCUGAAGUCCCCCAGGGAAUGCAGGCUUUACAUUGUGCAAGGGGCACCUUCUAGAGAGAGGUAUCUGGAAAUCAAGGUUUUAGAAGUUGGUUGGCAGUGAAAAUACAAGACCCUGUUACCUGAUACUCUGGUCUGUAAUAAAUUCUGAAAGGAAGGCUUUGGCACUUGGAGGGAUCCCGGAGUAACCACUGUUGUUUGGUAAGUCUGAGCGUUCAUAAACAAAGGGAAGACUAUGCUACAGGAGGCGGCAACGGUGCGAUGGAGCUGAGGGCCAGGGAGCCAAGCUAAUAUGGACUAAUACUGACUACAGACAGGCUGCUUCACUAAAUCCUGAAGAGUCUUUAUGAGGGUAAUCUCACUCUUCCUCCUUCUUGUCCACGGAGACCCAGAGCUGUGAAAUCCUGCAAGCUCAAGAUCCCAGCUCUGCAACAAAACAAAACAAAACAAAACAAAACACACCAGCUCUUCCUGGUAACCUCUAGAGUUCCGUCGCUACUUCAUGUGUGCCACAGGUGCUCUGGCUGCUUGCUAAGAAUCUGACCUCACACGUCUGGACAUGUUGACGGGCCACCAAAACUCAAGUGAGGGGCUGUUCCACUUUCCCAUUCCAAGGUCCAGGACAUCAGAGAAAAGUUUAUCUACAACCUUGAACACAAUCCGAGCAUUUGCUCACAGACACAACUCAAACGGUUCUGAUAUGACUUCCCAUAUAUCUUGGUUCACAGACCAAAUUAAAAUUUAAAUAAAGUACAUUGAACGCUCUUUACCAAUAUACGUUUCUUUUAUCUUAUUUUAUUUUCCCUUUUGUUGUCCUUGUUUUUUU
Molecule: long non-coding RNA, 1184 nt
Organism: Erinaceus europaeus (western European hedgehog)
Lineage: Eukaryota; Metazoa; Chordata; Mammalia; Eulipotyphla; Erinaceidae
Exons: 3
Source: RefSeq, a predicted model, not a curated record